RNAcentral lists this ribosomal RNA (207 nucleotides) under uncultured bacterium. RNAcentral describes it as "partial 16S ribosomal RNA". It matches the Rfam family "Bacterial small subunit ribosomal RNA", at positions 568 to 774 of the family's 1533-position model. The record is from RNAcentral.
CGCGUAGGCGGUUCGGUAAGUGGGAUGUGAAAGCCCCGGGCUCAACCUGGGAAUUGCAUUCCAAACUGCCGAGCUAGAGUAUGGUAGAGGGAGGUAGAAUUUCCUGUGUAGCGGUGAAAUGCGUAGAUAUAGGAAGGAAUACCAGUGGCGAAGGCGGCCUCCUGGACCAAUACUGACGCUGAGGUGCGAAAGCGUGGGGAGCAAACA